RNAcentral lists this ribosomal RNA (492 nucleotides) under uncultured bacterium. RNAcentral describes it as "partial 16S ribosomal RNA". It matches the Rfam family "Bacterial small subunit ribosomal RNA", at positions 29 to 507 of the family's 1533-position model. The record is from RNAcentral.
AGUGAACGCUGGCGGUAGGCCUAACACAUGCAAGUCGAACGGCAGCACAGUAAGAGCUUGCUCUUACGGGUGGCGAGUGGCGGACGGGUGAGGAAUACAUCGGAAUCUACUUUUUCGUGGGGGAUAACGUAGGGAAACUUACGCUAAUACCGCAUACGACCUACGGGUGAAAGCAGGGGCUCUUCGGACCUUGCGCGAUUGAAUGAGCCGAUGUCGGAUUAGCUAGUUGGCGGGGUAAAGGCCCACCAAGGCGACGAUCCGUAGCUGGUCUGAGAGGAUGAUCAGCCACACUGGAACUGAGACACGUUCCAGACUCCUACGGGAGGCAGCAGUGGGGAAUAUUGGACAAUGGGCGCAAGCCUGAUCCAGCCAUACCGCGUGGGUGAAGAAGGCCUUCGGGUUGUAAAGCCCUUUUGUUGGGAAAGAAAAGCAGCAGGUUAAUACCCCGCUGUUCUGACGGUACCCAAAGAAUAAGCACCGGCUAACUUCGUG